Molecule: transfer RNA, 79 nt
Filed under: Ampelocalamus scandens
Lineage: Eukaryota; Viridiplantae; Streptophyta; Magnoliopsida; Poales; Poaceae
Description: tRNA-Ile
Rfam family: tRNA (bases 1-60)
About the family: Transfer RNA (tRNA) molecules are approximately 80 nucleotides in length.
Source: RNAcentral
GGGCUAUUAGCUCAGUGGUAGAGCGCGCCCCUGAUAAUGGUUCAAGUCCAGGAUGGCCCAGCUGCGCCAGGGAAAAGAA